This 295-nucleotide ribosomal RNA is filed under the name uncultured bacterium. RNAcentral's name for it is "partial 16S ribosomal RNA". It matches the Rfam family "Bacterial small subunit ribosomal RNA", at positions 338 to 631 of the family's 1533-position model. The record is from RNAcentral.
CCUACGGGACGCAGCAGUGAGGAAUAUUGGUCAAUGGUCGGGAGACUGAACCAGCCGAGCCGCGUGAGGGAGGAAGGUACAGAGUAUCGUAAACCUCUUUUGUCAGGGAACAAAGGCGGGGACGUGUCCCCGGAUGAGUGUACCUGAAGAAAAAGCAUCGGCUAACUCCGUGCCAGCAGCCGCGGUAAUACGGAGGAUGCGAGCGCUAUCCGGAUUUAUUGGGUUUAAAGGGUGCGCAGGCGGGCGGUUAAGUCAGCGGUCAAAGCCCGGGGCUCAACCCCGGACCGGCGGUGAA